Molecule: ribosomal RNA, 256 nt
Filed under: uncultured prokaryote
Description: partial 16S ribosomal RNA
Rfam family: Bacterial small subunit ribosomal RNA
Source: RNAcentral
UAAUACGUAGGUGGCAAGCGUUGUCCGGAUUUACUGGGCGUAAAGGGCUUGUAGGCGGUCCGUUAAGUCCGGUGUGAAAUCUCCCGGCUCAACUGGGAGGGGUCAUCGGAUACUGGCGGACUCGAGGUGGGCAGAGGAAAGCAGAAUUCCCGGUGUAGCGGUGAAAUGCGUAGAUAUCGGGAGGAAUACCAGUGGCGAAGGCGGCUUUCUGGGCCUAUCCUGACGCUGAGGAGCGAAAGCGUGGGGAGCAAACCGG